Molecule: long non-coding RNA, 528 nt
Organism: Labrus bergylta (ballan wrasse)
Lineage: Eukaryota; Metazoa; Chordata; Actinopteri; Labriformes; Labridae
Source: RefSeq, a predicted model, not a curated record
UAGCAAACUUCUUCACAAACACGUUUUAAGAGGCUGAAAAGUUUACCGUCACAUUUGAGCUGGAUUUAGAGGAGGAUAAUUAUGAUUCCAAAAAGGUGGAGAAUUCUAGUCCCUGGUGUCCCACCUCCGUCAGUUCCUGGACCUGCACAAGAAAUACAACUGCAGACUUCACUUUCAGAAGGGAAGUGUACGGAGUGUGGAGUUCUUCAUGUUGGACAAAGAGCCGGCUCCAGAGCUGACCGCUGCCACAGUGGAGAGCAGUAUCCUGCCUCGUGAUGAGCUUCUUCAGUAUAUCAAGGUAAAACAACACCACUGCUGGAACAUUAACCCUUGUGCCUUCCUCAAAUGUAUUUAUAUUUUCCGUUGUGAAUUUAAACACACUUCUGACUUGCUCAGAACUACCAAACAUUAAAUUAUUUUCAGGAUUGUAACCCUUUAAAAGCAAGGUUAUUAGCUGAAUGAUGAUUAGAGUCUUGGAUCUGUGAAAGACAGCAACAAAGUUGAUUUGAUUGCAUUAGUCUUUUUAUG